GGUUAACUGAGCUGUCUGCUUUGUUAUAAACAGCUAAACAUUAGGUUAACUGAGCUGUCUGCUCGGUUAUAAACAUUAGGUUAACUGAGCUGUCUGCUUUGUUAUAAACAGCUAAACAUUAGAUUAACUGAGCUGUCUACUGGGUCAUAAACAGCUAAACAUUAGGUUAACUGAGCUGUCUACUGGGUCAUAAACAGCUAAACAUUAGGUUAACUGAGCUGUCUACUGGGUCAUAAACAGCUAAACAUUAGGUUAACUGAGCUGUCUACUGGGUCAUAAACAGCUAAACAUUAGGUUAACCGUACAAAGACAUACUGCUACUUGGUGAAUUCAUUUUUUUUUUAUAGUUAAACAUUUUAAAAAGUUAUCAGUUUUAGAUAAAACUAUACAAAAUAUAUUCAUGUCACCAAAUAAUUUAUUAAAACACACUGUUUUGUAAUGAAGGUCUACAUUAGCCUCAACAGCACUCUGUAGGGUAGCACCAUGCUGUAGCCGGAGGACAGCUAGCUUCUGUCCUCCUCUAUGUAGAUUGACUUUAAUACAAAACCUAGGAGGCUCGUGGUUCUCACCCCCUUCCAUAGACCUACAAAGUAAAUAUGACAACUUCCGAAGGACGCCCUCCAACCUAUCAGAGCUCUUGCGGAUUGAACUGACAUGUUGUCCGCCCAAUCAAAGGAUCAGAGAAUGAAUAUAUUACUGAAAGCAUAAGCUACAGCUAGCUAGCACUGCAGGAAAUAUAAUGUGUUGAGUAAUUGACUCAAAGAUAGAGAAAGACAAUAGUUGAACAGUUUAAUUUCUUCAAAAAUGAUGGAGAAGCAAGAGAGAGAGAGAGUUAGCUAUAUUUGAUUGUAUUUUUUAAAACUUUCACUUUCAUUUAGCUAGCAAAUGCAGCUAGCUAGUUUAGCCUACUCCAACACUCGGCUAAAACAGAGGGGGAUGUUAUGUUAGCUAGCUGGCUAUGGCUACCCAACAGAGGGGGAUGUUAUGUUAGCUAGCUGACUAUGGCUACCCAACAGAGGGGGAUGUUAUGUUAGCUAGCUGGCUGGCUAUGGCUACCCAACAGAGGGGGAUGUUAUGUUAGCUAGCUGGCUAUGGCUACCCAACAGAGGGGGAUGUUAUGUUAGCUAGCUGGCUGGCUAUGGCUACCCAACAGAGGGGGAUGUUAUGUUAGCUAGCUGGCUAUGGCUACCCAACAGAGGGGGAUGUUAUGUUAGCUAGCUGGCUAAGGCUAUCCAACACUGGAACACUUCCAAGUCAAGGUAAGCUUUUGGUUUUAUUCAUUUAUUGCCACCAGGGCCCUAUGGUGUAUCUGCUAAACUGCUUUCUGACUGUACACUGUACUGCAUGAUUGUAGUGGAUUUACUAACACGUUAGUUCUAGUGGCUAUGUUGACAAUAAUCACAUUUUAUUAGUCACAUACACAUUAUUAGCAUAUAUUCUAGAGAAAAUGUGUGGGCAGAACUGAAAAAGAGUGUGCGAGCAAGGAGGCCUACAAACCUGACUCAGCUACACCAGCUCUGCCAGGAGGAAUUGACCAAAAUUCACCCAACUUAUAGUGGGAAACUUGUGGAAGGCUACCCAAAACGUUUGACCCAAGUUAAACAAUUUAAAGGCAAUGCUACCAAAUACUAAUUGAGUUUAUGUAAACUUUUGACCCACUGGGAAUGUGAUGAAAGAAAUAAAAGCUGAAAUAAAUCACUCUACUAUUAUUCUGACAUUUCACAUUCUUAAAAUAAAGUUGUGAUCCUAACUCACCUAAGACAGGGAAUUUUUACUAGGAUUAAAUGUCAGGAAUUGUGAAAAACUGAGUUUAAAUGUAUUUGGCUAAGGUGUGUGUAAACUUCCAACUUGUGCGUGCCAACAACUGUAUCCCAGUCCGCGAUCAAAACAAUCUUGAAGCAUGGAUUCUGAUUGGCCAGACCAGCAUUGAACAGACGGUUAUUUCCUGUUUGAGUUUCUGCCUAUAGGAAGGGAGCAAAAUGGAGGUGUGAUCUGAUUUGCCAAAGGAAUGACGGUGGAGGGCCUUGUAUGCAUCCCGGAAGGGGGAGUAGCAGUGGUCGACCGUUCCGUUUUAGCAGCGUGUGUACUACAAUCAAUGUGUUGGUAGAACUUUGGUAGCGUUUUCCUCAAACUUGCUUUGUUAAAAUCCCCAGUUAUAAUAAAUGCAGUCUCGGGAUAUGUGGUUUCCAGUUUGCACAGUAUAGUUCCUUGGGGGCUGUUGUGGUAUCAGCUUGAGGGGGAACAUACACGGCCGUGACUGUAAACAAAGAGAAUUCUCUUAGGAGGUAAUACGGUCGGCAUUUGAUUGUGAGGUAUUCUAAGUCGGGUGAACAAAAGCAGUAGGGUAAAGUACUUAAGUAAAAAAUACUUUUUAAAGUACUACUUAAUUUGUUUUUUGGAGUAUCUGUAUUUAACUUUACUAUUUAUAUUUUUUACUACUUUUACUUUUACUCCACUACAUUCCUAAAGAAAAUAUUGUACUUUUUACUUAAUGUUUUCCCUGACACCCAAAAAUAUUUAUUACAUUUUGAAUGGUUAGCAGGACAGAAAAAUUGUCUAAUUCACACAAGAGAACAUCCCUGGUAAUCCCUACUGCCUCUGAUCUGGUGGACUCACCAAGUGUUGGAGCAUGCCCCUGGCUUUCUGUAAAUAAAAGAAAAAAUAAAAUUUUGCCACCUGGUUUGCUUCAUAUAAGCAAUUUGAAAAGAUGAAUACUUUACCUUUAACUUUU
This is a long non-coding RNA of Oncorhynchus tshawytscha (Chinook salmon), 2731 nucleotides long. The record is from Ensembl. Lineage: Eukaryota; Metazoa; Chordata; Actinopteri; Salmoniformes; Salmonidae.